GACGAACGCUGGCGGCGUGCUUAACACAUGCAAGUCGAACGGAAAGGCCUUUUCGGAGGUACUCGAGUGGCGAACGGGUGAGUAACACGUGGGUGAUCUGCCCUUCACUCUGGGAUAAGCCUGGGAAACUGGGUCUAAUACCGGAUAGGACCGCACUUUAGUGUGUGUGGUGGAAAGUUUUUUCGGUGUAGGAUGAGCCCGCGGCCUAUCAGCUUGUUGGUGGGGUAAUGGCCUACCAAGGCGGCGACGGGUAGCCGGACUGAGAGGUUGGUCGGCCACAUUGGGACUGAGAUACGGCCCAGACUCCUAAGGGAGGCAGAAGUGGGGAAUAUUGCACAAUCGGCGCAAGCCUGAUGCAGCGACGCCGCGUGGGGGAUGACGGCCUUCGGGUUGUAAACUACUUUCGCCAGGGACGAAGCGUUUUGUGACGGUACCUGGAGAAGAAGCACCGGCUAACUACGUG
Molecule: ribosomal RNA, 463 nt
Filed under: uncultured bacterium
Lineage: Bacteria
Description: partial 16S ribosomal RNA
Rfam family: Bacterial small subunit ribosomal RNA
Source: RNAcentral